Long non-coding RNA from Monomorium pharaonis (pharaoh ant), 1227 nucleotides. RefSeq lists it as uncharacterized. Lineage: Eukaryota; Metazoa; Arthropoda; Insecta; Hymenoptera; Formicidae. The record is from RefSeq and is a predicted model, not a curated record. The transcript has 2 exons.
CUUAUGUAUUUGAUAUAGAAAGUAUUAUGUAUAUAUUAUAGAUUAUAAAAUAUAUUAUCGACCUCUCCUCCUGUCCCUUUUCACAUAAAAGUUAUUAAAACGUAUUUUAGAUGGCGCCUAUUUACAGCAGCAAACAACAUAGACUUUAUGCCCGAAUCACACUCGCGUUUGGCGAUUGGCGUUUGGCAUCUACAAUUGUCUCUUGACCAAUCAGAAAACAGCUGCUGGCGAUUACGAUUAACGAUCACAGACUUCUAUAAUAUACUAGACUGCUAACCUUGAUUCCCUAGGCGUACCAGUAUAUAAUGUAUGUACAUGUUGUACAUGACUGAAUAACCGAUCGGAAUGUGUCAUCUGCUAUGUAAUGUACAUUGUUCGUCAAGUGGAAUGUAUAUGUACAUAUAUAUAUGCCAAUAAAUAUCACAUAUAGUUGCUACGAGUAAUUUGUUGACAUUUUUAAAAUGUUUAUAUAUAUAUAUAUAUUUAAAAAAUGAUACUUAAUAAUACUAAUAAAUAUCAUUAAUAUUAGGUUAUUUUAUACAAAAAUGCUCUUAAAAUGAGGUUAUAUCAUUUGUUCUUUAGUUUUAAUACUUAAACGAAAAGAAAUGUAUACCGCUUUCUUAUAUAUAUUUGGGCAGCCUUUUAUCACAUACCUUAAUUAUUGUCAUUUUAUCUUUUUCUUUUAUAUUACAAGAGCAAAAGAAUGAUACGUUUAACGCAUAAGUACGCAUAAGCGUCCAAGGAGAACGCUCUCAUAAUCACAUAAUAUAUAUAUUGUAUCAUACAUCUCACUCACUCCUCUAGUAAUCCAUAGUCGUAGGACUAUAAAAUAUUAGCCACAUUCUAAUCGGUAAUUCAGUCUGCCGCCUAUGAGCUCCUAUUUGUACAUACUUUUCGGGUACACACUAAAUGGAGAAUAUAUAACGAGCCUAGCAGUCUAGUAUAUUAUAGAAGUCUGUGUUAACGAUUCUCAUUUAGCCGUCCUUCUAUUUGUCAAGAGACAAUCGUAGACGCAAACGCAAUCGCCAAACGCUAGUGUGAUUCGGGCAUUAUAAACCGGUAUUCAUAUUCGGAUCUUAUAUUUAAGAUCAUCUUAAGUACUGUCACAGUUUAGCUAUAACCAGUUACGACAGUACAGUCGGAACCUUUGAUGUUUAUGUUACCUAGUCACGUGACCAUCCGCCAUGUUUUGGAUUGUAAGAAAGCGCGUUAUUCGAAGAUAUAAAA